This is a long non-coding RNA of Lynx canadensis (Canada lynx), 178 nucleotides long. RefSeq lists it as uncharacterized. The record is from RefSeq and is a predicted model, not a curated record. The transcript has 2 exons. Lineage: Eukaryota; Metazoa; Chordata; Mammalia; Carnivora; Felidae.
GCUGACUUUGAAUCGAGUACUAUUUCUAUUUUUGGUUUCUACUUCUAGUUUUGCCACUGGCCACCCACAAGAUCCCCUCUUCCUCAGGAAAAAUGAAUUGGAUGAGUGGCCUCCCCUACAGCUGAGAAUCAACUAGUGUAUAUCCUACUCACCCUGAGAUUAGUAGGCAAAACAUCCU